Molecule: ribosomal RNA, 500 nt
Filed under: uncultured bacterium
Lineage: Bacteria
Description: partial 16S ribosomal RNA
Rfam family: Bacterial small subunit ribosomal RNA
Source: RNAcentral
AUUGAACGCUGGCGGCAUGCCUUACACAUGCAAGUCGAACGGCAGCGCGGACUUCGGUCUGGCGGCGAGUGGCGAACGGGUGAGUAAUACAUCGGAACGUACCCUGUUGUGGGGGAUAACUAGUCGAAAGAUUAGCUAAUACCGCAUACGACCUGAGGGUGAAAGUGGGGGACCGCAAGGCCUCAUGCUAUAGGAGCGGCCGAUGUCUGAUUAGCUAGUUGGUGGGGUAAAGGCCUACCAAGGCGACGAUCAGUAGCUGGUCUGAGAGGACGAUCAGCCACACUGGGACUGAGACACGGCCCAGACUCCUACGGGAGGCAGCAGUGGGGAAUUUUGGACAAUGGGCGAAAGCCUGAUCCAGCAAUGCCGCGUGUGUGAAGAAGGCCUUCGGGUUGUAAAGCACUUUUGUCCGGAAAGAAAUGGCUCUGGUUAAUACCUGGGGUCGAUGACGGUACCGGAAGAAUAAGGACCGGCUAACUACGUGCCAGCCGCCGCGGUAA